RNAcentral lists this unclassified non-coding RNA (620 nucleotides) under fungal sp. NI-04M. Its description in RNAcentral is "partial contains 18S rRNA, ITS1, 5.8S rRNA, ITS2 and 28S RNA". The stretch from base 210 to 363 matches the Rfam family "5.8S ribosomal RNA". Lineage: Eukaryota; Fungi. The record is from RNAcentral.
AGGAUCAUUAUCGUAAAAAUCGAGGGUGCGAGGGCUGUCGCUGACCUUUUGGUUGUGCACGCCUGAGUGCUCUCACACAAUCCAUUUCACCCCUUGUGCACCACCGCGUGGGUCCCUCUUUGGCUAGUUCCGAGGGGGGGCUUGCGUUUUCACACAAACUUGUAAUAGUGUAGAAUGUCUUUUUUUUUGCGAUAACACGCAAUCAAUACAACUUUCAACAACGGAUCUCUUGGCUCUCGCAUCGAUGAAGAACGCAGCGAAAUGCGAUACGUAAUGUGAAUUGCANAAUUCAGUGAAUCAUCGAAUCUUUGAACGCACCUUGCGCCCCUUGGCAUUCCGAGGGGCACACCCGUUUGAGUGUCGUGAAAUUCUCAAAACCCUUUUCUUUGGAAAGGAUUUUGGACUUGGAGGCCUUUUGCUGGUUUCGCCUCGAAGCGAGCUCCUCCUAAAUGAAUCAGUGGGGUUUGCUUUGCGGAUCCUUGACGUGAUAAGUCGUUUCUACGUCUUGGAUUUUUUGCACUGUACACCUGCUUCUAACCGUCUCAUUGACAAUGAUGGUGCUCCGGUCACCGCCGAUUCGUCGGUCGGUAGGGCUGGACCCACAAAACGAACCUUGACCU